UCCUCCUUCCCGCUUCAGCAGGUCCAGGCUCUGCGCCAGUGCAUCCUUCUCCAAGAGUGCGCUGCCUGGGCCCGCUUGCCCUGGAGUUAACUUCAGCAGUCAACGGAGAGAAGAGUGGAAACCUUACUGGAUGCGGACAGGAGAGCCAGUUACUGAAAGCAGAUAUAACGCGGAUCCUGUAAAGAGUGGUGUGUAUCCAAAAAAAAAAAAUCUGUACAAUGUAUUUUAAAACUUGUGUGCACAAAACUGAAGAUUUUCUUUUUUACCUAGUCCAAAUGCCGUCCUAGCCUGAGUCCUGCUCUUUAUAAAAAUAAAAUAAAAAGAAUUUGAAGCUU
RNAcentral lists this long non-coding RNA (335 nucleotides) under Homo sapiens (human). Its description in RNAcentral is "HSALNT0193038". The record is from RNAcentral. Lineage: Eukaryota; Metazoa; Chordata; Mammalia; Primates; Hominidae.